RNAcentral lists this long non-coding RNA (9261 nucleotides) under Triticum aestivum (bread wheat). Its description in RNAcentral is "long non-coding RNA (TAES_LNC022264)". The record is from RNAcentral. Lineage: Eukaryota; Viridiplantae; Streptophyta; Magnoliopsida; Poales; Poaceae.
GAGAGAGAGAGAGUAACACUAUUCUAAUCCCAGGAUUGGAAUAGUUAUUUUGAUCACGUUCGGGCCUAUAUAGGAGCUGCGGAGGUGUUCCCGAACUUCUCUGCACGCGGAGAAAAAGCCCACGACCAUCCACCCCCCACCUCCCCACGCCUCUCACUCUCCCCUGAUCCCCAUCUUCGUCACCGUCAACUGCCCCAGGGCACCGCCGCCUCCAUCUGCCCCAGGGCCCCGCCGCUGCUACCUGCCCCAGCGCCCCGCCGCCCACCCCUGACCCGAUGCACCUCCGUUGCCACCCACCCUGUCCCCGCCGCGCUUCCAUCCGCCGUCCCCUGAUCCCCGUCCGUGACGGCGCCUCCCUCCACUCGAUCCACGGCUGUGUCGGCGGCCUCUCCAAUUGGAACUACGACUGCGGCAGCGGCUCCGUCCCCCUGGAUCCAUGACGGCUCCAUCCCUUGGAUCCACGGCGGCGGCGGCCUCCCGUCCCCUGGGUACACAUCAGAGGCAACCACCUCUGCUUCCAAACGCAGUGACGCCCUCCCUCCCACACGCUGCUGGCAAAGUACCGGCCGUCAUCCUCACGCGCGCCAGCGUCCAGCCAUCAUUGUUGCCGUCCCAGCUGCAGAGCGCCCACAUCCCACUCUUCCCCUACUCGACGGGCCAAGCCAUCACCUGCCGGGUCAGGAGCCCUUGCUGCUGCUUCUCACCUUCCAGCGACAGGUACCGCACCAGGCCAUGUAGGCUACUGAAGGUGCAACAACAUCUGCAUUCCUUCUCGCGGCUAUUUUCUCUGACUUUUUGCUACUACGAACACCCACAGAGGAAGAGAAGUAACUCUGAAUCUGAAGUUCUACCUGAAACUGAACUUCUACCUCUUCGCUACAUCGGAGUCCAUCGCUUGCACUACUUGCUUCUAGCAUCUUGUCCAUGGAGUCAAAGCGCUGCCUGGAGUGCCAUCUUGGUUUUGGAUGGGGCUCCGUCGCGACCCAGCUUCUCCCUGUACUCUGCAUCUUGUUCACCACCGCAGCUGCCCUGCGUCCUCACAACUUCUGCGGCCAGUCCACCAACGCGCUGCCAGUGCGCCCUGAGCAAAGCAUGGGGUUUGUGCUAAUGCGUCUAUUCGUGCAUGGGUGUGUGCGUGCGUGCUAGCAUUUGUGUGUGCGCUGGGUUUGUUGCUUGCAUGCUAUGAUGUAUAUGUAUAGAUUUUGUCUGAAGUUCAUGUUGUGAACCCAACUAAGUUUGAACAAAAAAGAUCAGAUCAUUGCUGCUUCGAAUUUGCUCCUGUACCAGAAUAUCGCUUCCAUGUUGUUAUACUAUGUACACUUAUGUAUUGUUUCUAAAUGGCUUUUUGUCUGAAGUUCAGUAGUACCUUUGGGUGCAAAAAAGUUGAUUCGGUUUCAUGGGUCCUUUAAAAAAGAAUGGGAAAGGAAAGUUUCCUUCUCCAAAAUUCAUCACCGCUCUGAAGUGUUAAUUCUUCUUGUGUGCUUCUACUGAGGCUUGUGUUUCAUGGAUAGAGAUAGAGACAUCAAGGAAAUUGUUCAUGUUUCCUUUCUGUCUAUGUACUUCAGAGACAUUUUGUGAGAGAAAAAAGGUGAGUGACGUACUCUUUUGAGAGAUACAAAGUGCUUUGGGCUCCAAUCUUUUUCUACACAAAAUUAUACGUUUGUGUCUCACCAAUGUAGCCGGCAACAGAUGCUUUGUACAAAACAACUUUGGUUUCAUGUGAGAAGUUCGACUAUAAAAUAAACACACGUUCACAUAGAGUAAAAUUAGUGCAAAUAAAAAAUUUAGUGAGCCAUGUAUUGUUGAUAUUUUUUUAAAACAAAAAUUAAAAUAACAGAGAUGUUUGAUGUUGUAACAAUAUAUUUUUCUAAAUUCUUAAAAAAACAAGAAGGUCAAAAUGAAAUAACGGAGUCGUUCAACUUUUUUAAUAGGAAAACAAAAUUUCCUCAUUUCUAAAAAACAAGAAGUUCAACUUCUAAUAUUAGAGUGCUUCAAACUUUCAUAAAAAAUAUUUAAGAAAUAAAACCAGGAAGUCCAUAUUAAAAAGGUGGAGAAGUUCGAUGAUUAUAGAAAACUCAGUUUUCCUCGUAAUUAAAGAAUGGAAACAAAAAGUUCAAAAAUAAAAAACAAGAAGUUCAACUUUUAAAAAUAUAACGCUUCAAAAUUUCAUAAAAAGGAUUAAGAAAUAAACCACGAAGUCCAUAUUAAAAAGAUGGAGAAGUUCGAUGAUUAUAGAAAACUCAUAUUUUUCUCGUAAUUAAAGAAUGGAAACAAGAAGUUCAAAAAUAAAAAACUAGAAGUUCAACUUUUAAAAAUAUAACGCUUCAAAAUUUCAUAAAAAAGGAUUAAGAAAUAAACCAGGAAGUCCAUAUUAAAAAGAUGGAGAAGUUCGGUGAUUAUAGAAAACUCAGAUUCUCCUCGUUAUUAAAGAAUGGAAACAAGAAGUUCAACUUAAAAAAAUAGAGCGCUUCAAAAUUUCAUAAAAAAGAUUAAGAAAUAAAACCAGGAAGUCCAAAUUAAAAAGAUGGAGAAGUUCGAUGAUUAUAGAAAACUCAGAUUUUCCUCGUUAUUAAAGAAUGGAAACAAGAAGUUCAAAAAUUAAAUAACAAGAAGUUCAACUUUUAAAAAUAGAGCGCUUCGAAAUUUCAUAAAAAGAUUAAGAAAUUUGGAUUAAUAUUCAUAAAAAACUCAGAUAUUUUCACGUACACGAGAGAAGUUCAGCUUGAUAACUGUCAGAAGUACACGUACUACACGCUGUGCAUUUUGUAUUAAAAAGAAUUAAAAAAAGCAAAGACUAAAAGUUUGUUGAUAUAAGUUCAAGUCCUCCGUCGGAGAAAGUUAAAGAAAUUAUUGUGAGAGACGUUUGUACAAAAGGAAUAUUAUUUGUGUAAUACUGACGAAUUGAUGAGAAAAUUACAAACAAAAAUACGUCACAGAAGUUCAAAGUGAAAACAGCGGGAAGUUCAACUACUACGCUAAAUGAAUUUCAGAUGAAAAACUUUCAAAAUCGUCGCGAGUAUGAAAAAAUGAUCAACACGGGAAAGUUGCGUGUUUACAGCAGCUUUCCAUUGGUAUAUCACCCGCUCAAUUCCCGUGAGUGGGAUGGAGAGCUAUGAGCAGUGGAUGAAGAUCUACGAGCAAAAAAAUCACGUGAAAAACAGAGUGAAGUUCAGGUACACGCACCGAGAAGUUCAGGUUCUUCACGCGGUGCAUUUCCGAAGAAUCUGUUUCUCGGUAGAGGCGGAACGAAUGAUCCCGCUGUUUUUGGAAUUACUUGAAAACGGCUAGGAAUCAUAGAAAACCAUCAACAUGAAAAAGUUUCGCAUUUUCUGUAGCUUUUCAACGGUAUAUUAUUUGUCCAAUUUUGAUAAAGUUUGUAGAAAUUACGACGAAAAUACGUUUUUCGCCAUUUUCAAAACUGACUUAAAUCCAUAAAGAAUUGGGAGAAAUAAUACAUACCAAAAAGUUUCACAUUUGUUCAAGCUUUCCAACGCCAUAUCAUUUGCUGCAUUCGGAAGCGCGGUUAAAACAUUAUCUUGAAAAUACGAACUCGGUAGGACUUGGACCAUUUUCUAAAUUACUCUUAAACCAUUCAAAAUUACAAAAAAAAACUUUCAAGAUGAAAAAGUAGCGCAUUUUCAUAAGCUUUCCAACGCCAUAUCAUAUGCCUCCAUUGGAUUAGCCAUUUAGAAAUGACAUCGAAAAAACGAACUCAGCUGUUCGGUUUACGAAAUUUUACGUUUUUUCAAAUUACUCUUUAACCAUAGGGAAUUGGAAAAAACUUUCAAAAUGUGGAAGGAGCGGUUUUGCAGCAGCUUUCCAACGCCAUAUUAUAUGCCUCAUUCUGAUAAAUGGUUUAGAAAUGCGAUCGAAAAUACGAUUCACGUUUUUUGUGCGAAGAAAAAAUGGUUUUCAAAACUGCUCUUAAACCGCUUAUGUUUUGACAAAAAUUUAAAUUGGGUCAUGAUAUUGGUGUUCAUAGCUUUUCAACGAUAUAUUGCAAGCCUCGUUUGGGCAAUGUUGUCGGAAGUUCAACCGAGUUCACAGGGAAGUUCAACGUACUACUUGCGGGGCAGGUCAGGUUGUGAUCAGAAUAUUAUUCUGAUCCCAUGAUCAGAAUAGUGUUUAUAUAUAUAUAUAUAAUAAUAUAUCUAUAUAUAUAUACCAGUAAUAUGCGGUAUUACCUGAUAUUCACCGAAACCCUUCCGAUGACCCCAAAACGCUUCCGGAUCCUCUCGAAACUAUUCCAAAUAUUAAUGAAACAAUUCCAAAAAUAUAUCCUCAUCACUCCCGUCCUACUAACACUUGGCAUAUCGUGAUUUCCUUAAGCUUCUAACCUCGUAGGUUCAGUAACUCAUAGACAUGAACGAAACCCCUUUGUUCAAUGACCGAUAGCGGAAUCGUGGACGUCCAUAUCGGUUCGUACGAGCACACGGAUGAUAUUCGUGUGAAACUUUGGUUAUUAUGUGAUGUUCCCUCUGCUUAGAGAUAAUUUACAAAACCCGAGAUGCAUCGGUAUACUCCUGGGUUAUCACAUGCUCACUAUACCAAAAUCCUCGUUACCAGUUUUGUUAUUCUUUCUCGUUGUCGUGUUCCGGCACCCCCAUGAUGUAGUCACCUAUGUCUGGCCAGACAAUGAUGGAGGUUGUCACACCAACAGGACCCUAAGAAUAUCUCUCCAUCGUAGGAGGAGCAAAUCCCACUCUCGAGCUAUCUAUCCCUUGUCAAACUUUCCGAUGAGCCUGUAAGUUGUCGUUAUGAUCACCGUGUUACAAGUGACGUUUGAGCAACCCCAAAGUCCACUAUACGGUAAGAAGUGACUACAAUACUCUCAUGGUCUAAGGAGCAAAACCACAUGUUAACACUCUUUGUUAUUACAAUUGAUUACAAGCAUUAUCUCAAUUCAUAACAAACAAGUUUGGGUCGAUUCAAUAUGAUUGUUCUUCCAACUUCAUAACCUCAAUGUUGUUUUAGGACUAUCGUUACACUUACUGAUAUCCUAAGGUCCGAAAAACAUGAUCACCAACAACAUUUGAGCUACUCUUAGCCGUGAGACUAGGAACCUUUAUUUUAUCCGUUUAUCAUUUCACACGUGCAUACGAGUUUCCCACUGAAUCGCAUAUUCCAGGAUCAUAACAGUUAUAUUAUGAAACAUAAUCUCUUAAUUAUGAACAUGAAAAAUAUAAUAAUACAAUAUUAUUGUCUCUAGGGCAUAUUUUCAACAGUUAAUAGCUAGCUCCUCUUUUCUGGCUCAAGGAGGAAGGCUUCAACUUCUUAAUAUUGCUCUUUCAUCCGUGCUCAUUUUCCUAAUGUGUAUAAUCAAGGUUCCGCCAGGGAUAAUUAGGCAGUUGCAAAGAAUCCAAAGACAAUUCUUAUGGAGGGAAAACAGGCAGGAGCCAACCCCUUCUUUGGCUGCCUGGGAUCUCAUCUGUAGGCCAAAAAACAAAGGUGGCUUAGGCAUCUUAAACUUGGAAGUUCAGAAUGAUGGCCUCCUCCUAAAGCAAGCUAGUAAACUCUUUAACAAGAGUAAGGUGACAUGGGUGGAGCUAAUUUGGAACUCUUAUUAUGAUGAAAGGAUACCUCGGUCUACUCAAUUAUGUGGUUCAUAUUGGUGGAGGGAUAUCCUAGAGUUAGUUAAUACAUUUAGGAAAAUCACCUGGAUACAAGUCAAUAAAGGUGAUAUUGUUCUUUUCUGGAAUGGCCAAUGGAAGCAUGGUAACUCUGUCACACCUUUGCAACUUUGUUUCAAGAGAAUUUUCUCUUAUGCAAAGGACCAACUUAUCACUGUCAAGGAGGUGAUUAAUUGUGAUAAUUUGCUAUCAGUGUUCCAUUUGCCUAUGUCUAAUAUGGUCUUUUUCAGGAGUUGUAGCAGAUUAAAUCAAUUUUCUCUUCUAUCCACCUUCAGAAUAUGGAUGAUGUUUGGUUUUGGAGAGGCGGUGAUAAAACAUACAUGACCAAAAGGUAUUAUGAUCUUAUAUACUCUCCUAUUCAGCCAAAUCCUUUAUUAUCCUGGGUAUGGAAAAGUUGUUGCACAAUGAAAAUCAAAGUUUUUGCAUGGACGAUGAUUAUGGACAGAGUUAAUACCACAGAUAUGCUUCAGAGGAGGCACUGGAAUACUUUAGAUGGGCCUAAGCGUGUACUUUAUCAUGCACACUCUAAGGAGGACAGGGAACAUUUAUUCUUCACAUGCAAUUUUAGAGUGAGGAUUUGGAAUUUUCUCCAAAUACAGUGGUCUAUUGGACAUGACAUGUGUGAAAUAGCCUUUCAGGCUAGGAGGGAUUUUCGUCUGCCUUUCUUUGCUGAAGUAGUUUUCACCGCAUGCUGGAAUAUCUGGACAGUGAGGAAUGAUAAAGUUUUCAGGAAUGACAAACCUUCUUUUGCUAAAUGAGGAUCUGGUUUUGUUAGGGACAUGUCACUGCUUGCUUACUGAAUUAAAGCUAGAUUCAAGGAUGACUUAAUUAGAUGGGUAACUCACUUACCUCCUUGAUUUCUUCUUUACUUUUAGAUUAGGGUUCUCUUUCAUCUUUUGGGGGUUAUUUACCCUUGUAAUUAUUUUUUGUUUGGGGUGUUAGCCCUUGUAAUCUUCUUCAUCUUCUUUCUCUAUUUCUUUCUCCUUGUACCCAACAAGGUUGUGGGGCUUUGCCCUGCAAUUCAAUUGUCAAAGAAAAAUAGUUCGGCGGAUGGCAUUUUAAAUGCAUAUUUGUAUAAUGACCUUUAACAUGGAAUUGUUGAUGGUAUUAUUUCAAAAGCUUGUACCCAAACUAAGCAAGAACUUGAGGAGGUUUCGCUCGAGUUUGUAUUAAGCAGCUCAAACAGACAAUGGUCGAGAUAUACGUAUCGGGCUAAGCAUAAAAAAUGGUCGUUGGAGUGUUAACAUUGUCCUUAGAACAAAAUUGGUGCAAGUUAUUUUUUAACACGAUCGCUUUGCCCAAAAAAAAGGAGCAUGUGUUCACACCAAAUUUUUGACAUCGCAAAAAGGGUAACUCAGAGCUUUAAAUAAAAAGUCCUCAACAUCAAAGUUCUUCGUAUUGUCGAAAUAGACAACUAUGUUUUUUGAGUCAUCCCCAUUAGUGGUCGUAUACAACUUCCGAUGCCAAAGCAGUGUGUUGCACAGGAGAGUCUAAAGAUGGUCGGACUGUCCGGCCAAAUUCAGGUGGGGAUGUCCAGCUCAAUCGGACAAACAGUCGGGGCCUUCGUCGAGCUUGUGACGGAGACAUCACGUAACACACUCGAACCAUCCUGAAAAGUCUGAGUAUUGUCCUACCUAAGUUUUCGUGCUUUUUCAGUUGCAGUAGUUAUAAAACAAGCAAUUACAUUUUACGGGACCAUGGCAAAUUUAUUUUAUGCAUCAUGGUAAAAUUAGUGUAUGGACCAUGGCAAUAAAAAAGUCGGACAAAAAAAUUUAACUUUUAAUUUUAACCAUUGAGGAUUUUAUCCUUUUCUUUUCUUUGGAACAUGUUUUUUUUUGUUGGAACAAACCAUGUGAAAUUCCUUUUUUUCCUAGCUUGCCCAUUUUUCUUUAGUUUGUAUUGUAUUUGAUCUCCACAAAAAAAAAGAUUUUAGUAUGUAUUGCUUGUCAUUUUGUAAUUUUUGUGCUAUGAUAUUUUUUAGGUAUGCCAAAUUUUUUUUUCAAACAUACAUCAAAUAAGCUGGUUGUUUUUCCCCAAAAAAAUCUUAUUGUUUUUCCGGUUGGAACUUUUUUUUUUGGAACAAGCAGUGAUGCCUUGGGGGAGGAGGCCUGUUAAGAAAUACAUGUUGGGCCAUUUUGGUUCGUUCUGGCGAGUUCCUCCAGCGAACGUUUCUUUUUCGGGGAGUGGGGGUAUGCACGUGAUGAAGUUUGCAGCCGGUAUCCACGAAAUUUCUUCCUUUUCUUUUUUUGGGGGUUCCUCCUUUAUUAUCUUUCUCCCUUCUUCUUCUCUCGUUUUUCGUUGUUCUUCAUGUUCGACGACAAUAAACCUUGAGGCUCUUGGGCAAUCAGGUCUAACUAAAGCAACUCAUAGCCACUGUGCUCUCCGAUGGGAUCUCCCGGGCGUGUGGAGUUUUGGUUCUUCAAAAUAGAAUGCGUUCACAUUUUUUGCAUAUCUCACGAACGGCAACAGGAUAUUUGUCCCCCCCACCCCACCCCCCCUCGCCAUCACGCAACACAAAAAACAGCCCUAGGGAUUUAUUUAUGAAAGCGAAGAUAGCAGUGGGGAUAGAGGAGAGGAGAGGAGACAGGAAAUAGAAAACAAAACCCAGACCUCUUUCCAUCAUCCUGUCAAUUCCAUACGCGUCGUAGCUGUUUCCCGUUGGCUGGACGGAGGCCUGUGUCUGUCCAUUGAAUUUCUUCCCUCUUCUUUUUUGGUAGUAAAGGGACGGGGUACUAGAUUGAUAGAUAGAUACUCUCAUUACGACUUGCACACCACACCACCUAGGCAUGGAAGAAACUAACUACUACUAUACUACCACCUCUGUUUCUGAUUUAUAAACUAUCAAAACAGCUUAUACUCCCUCCCGUACCAAAAUAUAAGAUGUUUUUGCACUUCAGGUACAGAGGGAGUAUUGAAGAACACUAGUUAAUUAAAAUUCUUAUAUCAUACUCUAAAUACCGGACCUAUGAUCUUGGCAUAGUUGAAUAAUAAUCGUAGUAGCAUGUGUUGUACUAUUAUUGUAUUAUGUCCUCAGCUAAUCACCAUACCUAAGCAGGAGAAGCAUGAGCAGGAGAAGCAUUCAACCACCAGCCAGGCAGCCAACACAAGAAGGUCACAUGCAGGGAUGGGAAGGAGCAACCAUAUGUGCUGUGGCCAGCUCACUCCCCUGCUGAGCUGGCAGACGGCCACUCCACAUGCAUGGCACCACCAGCUCAGCCAAGGAAGGAAUUCCCCGAGGAAGGAAGAAUCCCACACAAAAUGCCAGCCAGCCAGCCCCCAAUUGGCUCCCCAGCCAGCCUUUUUUUUACCUUGUUCUUUUCUUGCUUGUAACACAGCACUGACAAACUUAAUACUCAACCACUAUCACACAGGAGCAUUGCAUGCAUGGACUAGAGAGAGAGAAGAAAGAGGAGGGAAAACAGAACAAAAAAGAAGCGCAAAAGGUACCCACAUCUCCAUUAAGUACACACAUUCUUUCUUCCAACCUCUGCGGGCAUUAUCAGUUGUUGCAGCACUUCUCACUCAUCACCACAGGUUCUGUCUGAUCUUACACAAGGGGAAAACUGGUGAACUUGUCUCGGUCUUCUUGUCUUCCUCUCUCCUCCUCCUCUCCUCACACGCUCAUUCUCAC